This 729-nucleotide ribosomal RNA is filed under the name uncultured Brevundimonas sp. RNAcentral's name for it is "bacterial SSU rRNA". It matches the Rfam family "Bacterial small subunit ribosomal RNA", at positions 8 to 783 of the family's 1533-position model. The record is from RNAcentral. Lineage: Bacteria; Pseudomonadati; Pseudomonadota; Alphaproteobacteria; Caulobacterales; Caulobacteraceae.
AGAGUUUGAUCCUGGCUCAGAGCGAACGCUGGCGGCAGGCCUAACACAUGCAAGUCGAACGGACCCUUCGGGGUUAGUGGCGGACGGGUGAGUAACACGUGGGAACGUGCCUUUAGGUUCGGAAUAGCUCCUGGAAACGGGUGGUAAUGCCGAAUGUGCCCUUCGGGGGAAAGAUUUAUCGCCUUUAGAGCGGCCCGCGUCUGAUUAGCUAGUUGGUGGGGUAAUGGCCCACCAAGGCUACGAUCAGUAGCUGGUCUGAGAGGAUGACCAGCCACAUUGGGACUGAGACACGGCCCAAACUCCUACGGGAGGCAGCAGUGGGGAAUCUUGCGCAAUGGGCGAAAGCCUGACGCAGCCAUGCCGCGUGUAUGAUGAAGGUCUUAGGAUUGUAAAAUACUUUCACCGGUGAAGAUAAUGACUGUAGCCGGAGAAGAAGCCCCGGCUAACUUCGUGCCAGCAGCCGCGGUAAUACGAAGGGGGCUAGCGUUGCUCGGAAUUACUGGGCGUAAAGGGAGCGUAGGCGGACAUUUAAGUCAGAGGUGAAAUCCCGGAGCUUAACUUCGGAACUGCCUUUGAUACUGGGUGUCUUGAGUGUGAGAGAGGUAUGUGGAACUCCGAGUGUAGAGGUGAAAUUCGUAGAUAUUCGGAAGAACACCAGUGGCGAAGGCGACAUACUGGCUCAUUACUGACGCUGAGGCUCGAAAGCGUGGGGAGCAAACAGGAUUAGAU